UACGGAAGGCAGCAGUGGGGAAUAUUGCACAAUGGGCGCAAGCCUGAUGCAGCCAUGCCGCGUGUAUGAAAAAGGCCUUCGGGUUGUAAAGUACUUUCAGUCGUGAGGAAGGUGUUAAGGUUAAUAACCUUAGCAAUUGACGUUAGCGACAGAAGAAGCACCGGCUAACUCCGUGCCAGCGGCCGCGGUAAUACGGAGGGUGCGAGCGUUAAUCGGAAUUACUGGGCGUAAAGGGCACGCAGGCGGUUAAUUAAGUUGGAUGUGAAAUCCCCGGGCUUAACCUGGGAAUGGCAUUCAAGACUGGUUAGCUAGAGUCUUGUAGAGGGGGUAGAAUUCCAUGUGUAGCGGUGAAAUGCGUAGAGAUGUGGAGGAAUACCGGUGGCGAAGGCGGCCCCUGGACAAAGACUGACGCUCAUGUGCGAAAGCGUGGGGAGCAAACAGGGAUUAGAUACC
This 453-nucleotide ribosomal RNA is filed under the name uncultured bacterium. Its description in RNAcentral is "bacterial SSU rRNA". It matches the Rfam family "Bacterial small subunit ribosomal RNA", at positions 340 to 786 of the family's 1533-position model. The record is from RNAcentral.